UACAGAGGUCUCGAGCGUUGUUCGGAUUCAUUGGGCGUAAAGGGGGCGAAGGCGGCGAGGUAAGUCGGAUGUGAAAUCUCGGGGCUCAGCCCCGGAACUGCAUUCGAUACUGCCCCGCUUGAGGACUGGAGAGGAGACUGGAAUUCACGGUGUAGCAGUGAUAUGCGUAGAUAUCGUGAGGAAGACCGGUGGCGAAGGCGGGUCUCUGGACAGUUCCUGACGCUGAGGCACGAAGGCCAGGGGAGCAAACGGG
This 253-nucleotide ribosomal RNA is filed under the name uncultured bacterium. Its description in RNAcentral is "partial 16S ribosomal RNA". It matches the Rfam family "Bacterial small subunit ribosomal RNA", at positions 524 to 776 of the family's 1533-position model. The record is from RNAcentral.